AGCAGUCGCCACGGGAAUACGGAGGGGGCUAGCGUUGUUCGGAAUUACUGGGCGUAAAGCGCACGUAGGCGGCUUGGUAAGUUAGAGGUGAAAGCCUGGAGCUCAACUCCAGAAUUGCCUUUAAGACUGCCGAGCUAGCAGGUGAGAGAGGUAAGUGGAAUUCCGAGUGUAGAGGUGAAAUUCGUAGAUAUUCGGAAGAACACCAGUGGCGAAGGCGGCUUACUGGCUCAUACUGGACGCUGAGGUGCGAAAGCGUGGGGAGCAAACAGGAUUAGAUACCCCGGUAGUCCCUGUCUCUUAUAC
RNAcentral lists this ribosomal RNA (303 nucleotides) under uncultured bacterium. RNAcentral describes it as "partial 16S ribosomal RNA". It matches the Rfam family "Bacterial small subunit ribosomal RNA", at positions 507 to 807 of the family's 1533-position model. The record is from RNAcentral.